RNAcentral lists this ribosomal RNA (1590 nucleotides) under Triticum aestivum (bread wheat). RNAcentral describes it as "partial small subunit ribosomal RNA". The record is from RNAcentral. Lineage: Eukaryota; Viridiplantae; Streptophyta; Magnoliopsida; Poales; Poaceae.
AUGCAGCCGGACCCUAAAGGCCCGGGGAGGGAGAAGGCGCACGCUCGGCUGCCGCCGCCGGUGACGGCGCCGUCGGUGGGGCGGCCGGCGUCGGUGCUGCCGCACAAGACGGCGAACGUGCGCGACCACUACCGCAUCGGGAAGAAGCUGGGGCAGGGGCAGUUCGGCACGACGUACCUGUGCGUGGCCAAGGAGGACGGCGGCGAGUACGCGUGCAAGUCCAUCCCCAAGCGCAAGCUGCUGUGCCGCGAGGAUUACGAGGAUGUCUGGCGCGAGAUCCAGAUCAUGCAUCACCUGUCGGAGCACCCCAAUGUGGUUCGCAUCCGCGGCGCCUACGAGGACGCCCUCUUCGUGCACCUGGUCAUGGAGCUCUGCGCCGGCGGCGAGCUCUUCGACCGCAUCGUGGCCAAGGGCCACUACAGCGAGCGUGCCGCUGCCCAACUCAUCAGGACGAUCGUGGGGGUGGUAGAGGGGUGCCACUCGCUCGGUGUCAUGCAUCGGGACCUCAAGCCGGAGAACUUCCUCUUCGCGAGCACGGCCGAGGACGCCCCACUCAAGGCUACGGACUUUGGGCUUUCCGUCUUCUACAAGCCUGGAGAUAAAUUUGCAGAUGUUGUUGGGAGUCCCUAUUAUGUUGCACCUGAGGUGCUUCUAAAAUGCUAUGGCCCAGAAGCUGAUGUCUGGAGUGCCGGAGUAAUUCUGUACAUUUUGCUGUGUGGUGUGCCUCCGUUUUGGGCAGAAAGCGAAUCAGGAAUUUUCAAGCAGAUUUUGCGAGGUAAGCUUGACUUGGAAACUGAACCAUGGCCUAGUAUCUCUGAUAGUGCUAAAGAUCUAGUUCGUAAGAUGCUUAUCCGUGAUCCUACAAAGAGAGAGACUGCUCAUGAGGUUCUGUGUCAUCCAUGGAUUGUUGAUGAUUCUGUUGCACCUGACAAACCUAUUGAUUCUGCUGUUUUGUCAAGGCUGAAACACUUUUCUGCAAUGAACAAGCUGAAGAAGAUGGCAUUGAGGGGACCAAGCGUGUUUGUGUUCUUGCAGGUCAUUGCUGAAAGUCUAUCUGAGGAGGAGAUCGGUGGCUUAAAAGAGUUGUUUAAAAUGAUUGAUACUGACAAUAGUGGGACAAUAACUUAUGAAGAACUGAAGGAUGGCUUGAAAAGGGUGGGAUCCGAUCUAAUGGAACCUGAAAUCCAGUCUUUGAUGGAUGCGGCUGAUAUUGACAACAGCGGAUCCAUCGACUAUGGUGAAUUCUUAGCAGCUACAUUGCAUGUGAAUAAACUGGAGAGGGAGGAAAAUUUGGUGUCAGCAUUCGCAUUCUUUGAUAAAGAUGGAAGUGGCUUUAUAACGAUUGAUGAGCUCUCGCAAGCAUGCGAGAAAUUUGGCCUUUCUGACGUUCAUCUUGAGGAUAUGAUCAAGGAUGUGGAUCAAAAUAAUGAUGGACAAAUUGAUUACAGUGAGUUUGCGGCUAUGAUGAGAAAGGGCAAUGCUGGUGGCUCCAGUGGGACCAGUGGGGCUGUUGGGGCAGGAAGGAGAACCAUGAGGAACAGCCUGCAUGUGAAUCUCGGCGAAAUAUUGAGGCCCGGUGGAACCACCUAA